This 640-nucleotide long non-coding RNA is filed under the name Marmota monax (woodchuck). Lineage: Eukaryota; Metazoa; Chordata; Mammalia; Rodentia; Sciuridae. The record is from RNAcentral.
CAGCUCUCCGCCCACACUUCUGUUCCAGUGUGUUUCCUGGAGUGGGAAGAAAAGCGACAAAGCGACUUUACCACCCACUGUCCUGUUGCGCCCUGGCUCUUCCGUGGGAGAAGUCGUCUGUCAUAUGUGUCCUGGUGGGAAAGUCCAGUGGUCUAGGUCCUCGGCACCCUGCGCAUCGAUGGCCAUCCCUGCUUCCUUUCCCACUUCCUGGCUCUACUGUUCCCUCGCUCCAGCCUUAAAACUCCCAAGUUUCCUUCCACACGGGAACUACCUUACUCAGACACCUACUGUGUGGGAAACCAAACCCGUGCAAACCUGUUUAACAGGGUACUCAGGCCUAUCUGUUUUUCCCAAUGUGUUAAGUGCCCCGAUGCGUCUGUUCCUGACUGUCUUGGUGAAUGACAGUCCUGUCUGUUGAUUUUGAAGGGGAUUGAAUGUGGUUGACCCUGUUGUGUGCCAGAAGGUCCAGUUUCCUCAGGGUCACUGACAAGGCCAGAGGCCUGGUUCUCCUGCCUCAGUACUUGAGACACACUGAGGCCUUUUCAGAAAUAGCCUGUGCCGGCCUCGUGGUCUGCAGAGCUUCGCUGCCCUACAGGUGGGCAGCUUGGCAACCAGUGAUCCCCAGUGAUUUGAUCUUUCC